GAUGAACGCUGGCGGCGUGCCUAAUACAUGCAAGUCGAGCGAACAGACGAGGAGCUUGCUCCUCUGCCGUUAGCGGCGGACGGGUGAGUAACACGUGGAUAACCUACCUAUAAGACUGGGAUAACUUCGGGAAACCGGAGCUAAUACCGGAUCAUAUAUUGAACCGCAUGGUUCAAUAGUGAAAGACGGUUUUGCUGUCACUUAUAGCUGGAUCCGCGCCGCAUUAGCUAGUUGGUAAGGUAACGGCUUACCAAGGCAACGAUGCGUAGCCGACCUGAGAGGGUGAUCGGCCACACUGGAACUGAGACACGGUCCAGACUCCUACGGGAGGCAGCAGUAGGGAAUCUUCCGCAAUGGGCGAAAGCCUGACGGAGCAACGCCGCGUGAGUGAUGAAGGUCUUCGGAUCGUAAAACUCUGUUAUUAGGGAAGAACAAAUGUGUAAGUAACUAUGCACGUCUUGACGGUACCUAAUCAGAAAGCCACGGCUAACUACGUG
RNAcentral lists this ribosomal RNA (497 nucleotides) under uncultured bacterium. RNAcentral's name for it is "partial 16S ribosomal RNA". It matches the Rfam family "Bacterial small subunit ribosomal RNA", at positions 28 to 507 of the family's 1533-position model. The record is from RNAcentral.